AACUGUCGAACUGCCGUUGAUACUGUAGGUCUUGAGUAAAUUUGAAGUGGCUGGAAUAAGUAGUGUACCGGUGAAAUGCAUAGAUAUUACUUAGAACACCAAUUGCGAAGGCAGGUCACCUAAGAUUUAACUGACGCUGAUGGACGAAAGCGUGGGGAGCGAACAGGAUUAGAUACCCUGGUAGUCCACGCCGUAAACGAUGCUAACUCGUUUUUGGGUCUUCGGAUUCAGAGACCAAGCGAAAGUGAUAAGUUAGCCACCUGGGGAGUACGAACGCAAGUUUGAAACUCAAAGGAAUUGACGGGGGCCCGCACAAGCGGUGGAUUAUGUGGUUUAAUUCGAUGAUACGCGAGGAACCUUACCAAGACUUAAAUGAGAAAUGACAGAUUUAGAAAUAGAUCCUUCUUCGGACGUUUUUCAAGGUGCUGCAUGGUUGUCGUCAGCUCGUGCCGUGAGGUGUUAGGUUAAGUCCUGCAACGAGCGCAACCCCUGUCACUAGUUGCUAACAUUUAGUUGAGGACUCUAGUGAGACUGCCUACGCAAGUAGAGAGGAAGGUGGGGAUGACGUCAAAUCAUCACGGCCCUUACGUCUUGGGCCACACACGUAAUACAAUGGCCGGUACAGAGGGCAGCUACACAGCGAUGUGAUGCAAAUCUCGAAAGCCCGGUCUCAGUUGGAUGGAGUCUGCACUGAACUUAUGAAGUGGAUGUAGUAAUCGCGCAUCAGCCAUGGCGCGGUGAAUACGUUCCCGGGCUUGCACACACCGCCCGUC
This 773-nucleotide ribosomal RNA is filed under the name uncultured bacterium. RNAcentral's name for it is "bacterial SSU rRNA". It matches the Rfam family "Bacterial small subunit ribosomal RNA", at positions 611 to 1398 of the family's 1533-position model. The record is from RNAcentral.